Molecule: ribosomal RNA, 403 nt
Filed under: Verrucomicrobiota bacterium
Lineage: Bacteria; Pseudomonadati; Verrucomicrobiota
Description: Verrucomicrobia bacterium partial 16S ribosomal RNA
Rfam family: Bacterial small subunit ribosomal RNA
Source: RNAcentral
UGGGGAAUAUUGCACAAUGGGCGCAAGCCUGAUGCAGCAACGCCGCGUGAACGAUGAAGGUCUUCGGAUCGUAAAGUUCUGUUGCAGGGGAAGAUAAUGACGGUACCCUGUGAGGAAGCCCCGGCUAACUACGUGCCAGCAGCCGCGGUAAUACGUAGGGGGCUAGCGUUAUCCGGAUUUACUGGGCGUAAAGGGUGCGUAGGUGGUAUUUCAAGUCGGUGGUUAAAGGCUACGGCUCAACCGUAGUUAGCCUCCGAAACUGGAAGACUUGAGUGCAGGAGAGGAAAGUGGAAUUCCCAGUGUAGCGGUGAAAUGCGUAGAUAUUGGGAGGAACACCAGUAGCGAAGGCGGCUUUCUGGACUGCAACUGACACUGAGGCACGAAAGCGUGGGUAGCAAACAGG